GCCUAUGACCAGAUGACCCGAAAAUGUACCUGAUUUCGUAACAUUUCAAACACUAUAAGCAGGUUUAAGCCUGGUUAGUACUUGGAUGGGAGACUGCCUGGGAAUCGCAGGGGCUGUAGGCU
This 122-nucleotide ribosomal RNA is filed under the name Petromyzon marinus (sea lamprey). Lineage: Eukaryota; Metazoa; Chordata; Hyperoartia; Petromyzontiformes; Petromyzontidae. The record is from RNAcentral.